Molecule: ribosomal RNA, 245 nt
Filed under: uncultured Eubacteriales bacterium
Lineage: Bacteria; Bacillati; Bacillota; Clostridia; Eubacteriales
Description: uncultured Clostridiales bacterium partial 16S ribosomal RNA
Rfam family: Bacterial small subunit ribosomal RNA
Source: RNAcentral
UACAUAGGGGGCGAGCGUUAUCCGGAAUUAUUGGGUGUAAAGGGUGCGUAGACGGGAUCUUAAGUUAGUAGUGAAAUCCCCUGGCUCAACUGGGGAACUGCUACUAAGACUGGGAUUCUUGAGUACUGGAGAGGAAAGUGGAAUUCCUAGUGUAGCGGUGAAAUGCGUAGAUAUUAGGAGGAACACCAGUGGCGAAGGCGACUUUCUGGACAGAAACUGACGUUGAGGCACGAAAGUGUGGGUAG